GGAAUAUUGGUCAAUGGACGCAAGUCUGAACCAGCCAUGCCGCGUGAAGGAUGAAGGUCCUCUGGAUUGUAAACUUCUUUUAUCUGGGACGAAACCCGGGCAUUCUUGCCCGAUUGACGGUACCCGAGGAAUAAGCACCGGCCAACUCCGUGCCAGCAGCCGCGGUAAUACGGAGGGUGCAAGCGUUCUCCGGAUUCACGGGGUUUAAAGGGUGCGUAGGAGGGCAGGGAAGUCAGUGGUGAAAUCUCCGGGCUUAACUCGGAAACUGCCGUUGAUACUCUCUGUCUUGAAUGCCGUGGAGAUGAGCGGAAUAUGUCAUGUAGCGGUGAAAUGCUUAGAUAUGACAUAGAACACCGAUUGCGAAGGCAGCUCGUUACACGAACAUUGACUCUGAGGCACGAAAGCGUGGGGAUCAAAC
Molecule: ribosomal RNA, 418 nt
Filed under: uncultured bacterium
Lineage: Bacteria
Description: bacterial SSU rRNA
Rfam family: Bacterial small subunit ribosomal RNA
Source: RNAcentral